UCCGGUUGAUCCCGCCGGAGGCCACUGCUAUUGGGAUUCGACUAAGCCAUGCGAGUCUAUGGUUUCGGCCAUGGCGGACGGCUCAUUAACACGUGGUUAACAUACCCUCAGGUGGGGGAUAACCUUGGGAAACUGAGGAUAAUACCCCAUAGAAAAAGCAGUCUGGAACGAUUCUUUUUCGAAAGCAUAUGCGCCUGAGGAUUGGACUGCGCUCGAUUAGGUAGUUGGUGGGGUAAUGGCCUACCAAGCCUACGAUCGGUACGGGCCUUGAGAGAGGAAGCCCGGAGAUGGGGACUGAGACACGGCCCCAGGCCCUACGGGGCGCAGCAGGCGCGAAACCUCCGCAAUGCACGAAAGUGCGACGGGGGGAUCCCAAGUGCUCAUGCACAGCAUGGGCUUUUAUCAAGUGUAAACAGCUUGAGGAAUAAGGGCUGGGCAAGUUCGGUGCCAGCAGCCGCGGUAACACCGACGGCCCGAGUGGUGGCCACUUUUAUUGGGCCUAAAGCGUCCGUAGCCGGUCCAGUAAGUCCUUGUUUAAAUCCUGCGGCUUAACCGCAGGACUGGCAGGGAUACUGCUGGACUUGGGACCGGGAGAGGACAAGGGUACUUCAGGGGUAGCGGUGAAAUGUGUUGAUCCUUGAAGGACCACCUAUGGCGAAGGCACUUGUCUGGAACGGGUCCGACGGUGAGGGACGAAAGCCAGGGGCGCGAACCGGAUUAGAUACCCGGGUAGUCCUGGCCGUAAACUUUGCGAACUAGGUGUUAGGUGGGCCCCGUGCCCAUCUAGUGCCGAAGGGAAGCCGUUAAGUUCGCCGCCUGGGGAGUACGGUCGCAAGACUGAAACUUAAAGGAAUUGGCGGGGGAGCACCACAACGGGUGGAGCCUGCGGUUUAAUUGGAUUCAACGCCGGGCAUCUCACCAGGAGCGACAGCAUGAUGACGGCCAGGUUGACGACCUUGCCUGAAGCGCUGAGAGGUGGUGCAUGGCCAUCGUCAGCUCGUACCGCGAGGCGUCCUGUUAAGUCAGGUAACGAGCGAGACCCGUGCCCUAUGUUGCUACUUUUUCCUCCGGGAGAAAGGCACUCAUAGGGGACCGCUGGCGCUAAGUCAGAGGAAGGAGCGGGCAACGAUAGGUCCGCAUGCCCCGAAUCUCCUGGGCUACACGCGGGCUACAAUGGCUAGGACAAUGGGCCGCAACCCUGAAAAGGGACGCAAAUCUCCUAAACCUAGUCGUAGUUCGGAUCGUGGGCUGUAACUCGCCCACGUGAAGCUGGAAUCCGUAGUAAUCGCAGUUCAUAAUACUGCGGUGAAUGUGUCCCUGCUCCUUGCACACACCGCCCGUCACACCACCCGAGUUGGGUUGAAGUGAGGCCUUGGCCUUUGGCUAGGGUCGAACUUGGGCUCAGCGAGGGGGGUGAAGUCGUAACAAGGUAGCCGUAGGGGAACCUGCGGCUG
Molecule: ribosomal RNA, 1454 nt
Filed under: Methanococcus maripaludis
Lineage: Archaea; Methanobacteriati; Methanobacteriota; Methanococci; Methanococcales; Methanococcaceae
Description: bacterial SSU rRNA
Rfam family: Archaeal small subunit ribosomal RNA
Source: RNAcentral